GGUCCCGUGUGGCUCAGUUGGUAGAGCAUGGUGCUUACCACGCCAGGGUUGUGGGUUCAAUCCCCACGGGGGAGGGACCA
Non-coding RNA from Oncorhynchus tshawytscha (Chinook salmon), 80 nucleotides. NCBI's taxonomy places the organism in Eukaryota, Metazoa, Chordata, Actinopteri, Salmoniformes, Salmonidae. The record is from the annotation of a RefSeq genome assembly.